ACAGGGGCGCUGGCGGAAGCUGGCUGAGAUUGAACAUAUUCUUGUCCAUGUCCCUUGACCUGAUCUGGGUAAUGCCAGCGUAGGAAGUUGU
Molecule: non-coding RNA, 91 nt
Filed under: uncultured Anaerotruncus sp.
Lineage: Bacteria; Bacillati; Bacillota; Clostridia; Eubacteriales; Oscillospiraceae
Source: RNAcentral